AGGAGAGGACAGGUAGAUUUGCGUGUCAUCUGCAUAGAAAUUAUAUUGGAAGCCAAAGGAGCUAAUGAGUUUACCAAGGGAGGCAGUAUAGAUGGAGAACAGUAGGGGACCAAGGACUGAACCUUGGGGGACACCAACAGAGAGGAGUUGGGGAGAAGAAGCAGAGCCAGAGAAAGAAACACUGAAAGAGCGCUGGGAGAGGUAG
Molecule: long non-coding RNA, 205 nt
Filed under: Pelobates cultripes (western spadefoot toad)
Lineage: Eukaryota; Metazoa; Chordata; Amphibia; Anura; Pelobatidae
Source: RNAcentral